GAUGAACGCUAGCGGGAGGCCUAACACAUGCAGGCCGAGCGGUAUUGUUUCUUCGGAAAUGAGAGAGCGGCGUACGGGUGCGUAACACGUGUGCAACCUGCCUUUAUCUGGGGGAUAGCCUUUCGAAAGGAAGAUUAAUACUCCAUAAUAUAUUGAACGGCAUCGUUUAAUAUUGAAAGCUCCGGCGGAUAGAGAUGGGCACGCGCAAGAUUAGCUAGUUGGUGAGGUAACGGCUCACCAAGGCGAUGAUCUUUAGGGGGCCUGAGAGGGUGAUCCCCCACACUGGUACUGAGACACGGACCAGACUCCUACGGGAGGCAGCAGUGAGGAAUAUUGGUCAAUGGGUGCAAGCCUGAACCAGCCAUCCCGCGUGAAGGACGACUGCCCUAUGGGUUGUAAACUUCUUUUGUAUAGGGAUAAACCUACCCUCGAGAGGGUAGCUGAAGGUACUAUACGAAUAAGCACCGGCUAACUCCGUG
Molecule: ribosomal RNA, 479 nt
Filed under: uncultured bacterium
Lineage: Bacteria
Description: partial 16S ribosomal RNA
Rfam family: Bacterial small subunit ribosomal RNA
Source: RNAcentral